GGCCUCGUAGCUCAGUUUGCCAGAGCGUUGGCUGUACUAAAGCCUUCCCCUUGCUGGUGUGGGUUCGAAUCCCACCGAGGCUG
Molecule: transfer RNA, 83 nt
Filed under: Schistocephalus solidus
Lineage: Eukaryota; Metazoa; Platyhelminthes; Cestoda; Diphyllobothriidea; Diphyllobothriidae
Rfam family: tRNA
About the family: Transfer RNA (tRNA) molecules are approximately 80 nucleotides in length. Their secondary structure includes four short double-helical elements and three loops (D, anti-codon, and T loops). Further hydrogen bonds mediate the characteristic L-shaped molecular structure. tRNAs have two regions of fundamental functional importance: the anti-codon, which is responsible for specific mRNA codon recognition, and the 3' end, to which the tRNAs corresponding amino acid is attached (by aminoacyl-tRNA synthetases). tRNAs cope with the degeneracy of the genetic code in two manners: having more than one tRNA (with a specific anti-codon) for a particular amino acid; and 'wobble' base-pairing, i.e. permitting non-standard base-pairing at the 3rd anti-codon position.
Source: Rfam by way of RNAcentral